This 1512-nucleotide long non-coding RNA is filed under the name Zostera marina. RNAcentral's name for it is "long non-coding RNA (ZMAR_LNC002552)". Lineage: Eukaryota; Viridiplantae; Streptophyta; Magnoliopsida; Alismatales; Zosteraceae. The record is from RNAcentral.
AAUUGAUAUUUUCACAACUAUAUUCGAGAUUUUAAGAAAUCCAGAUUUCUGACUGCUCCAGUUCCAUAUGUUUAUUCUUGUAGGUUCGGGCGAACCACCAUUACUUCUGUCCGCUUCAGUUCACUGUGCAGUAAGAGAUGCCAUCAAAGAAGCUAGAAAAGAGUUGUUCUCCAAUGGAGGAGGAGCUGAAGAUGAGGACCCUCGAGUAUUCCAACUCCCGGUCCCUGCCACAAUGCCGGUUGUUAAGGAGCUAUGUGGAUUCGACAAUGUUGAAACACACCUUAUGAAGAAGUAAGUAACUUACUUAAAAACAAACACACGACAUGUAUACAUUCCGAUUAAAAUCAUAAAUUUUGUAGUUUUGUAAAAUAAAUUAUAUAUUUGGUUGAAUGAAUUGAUAAUCUAAGAGUAUGUUCUAUACUAAUUGACAUAACAGAAUUAACUGACUAUAUUACAAUCUACAAUUAUACUAUCAUAUAAAAUGCAAUAUAAGUAGUUUAUAGGUCAUAAAACAAAAGAACACAUCAUAAAAUACUAACUGAGCUAUAUUUCUCAAUCCACAACAAAGUAUUGGAUUGUUGUAGUUGAAAUAAACAAAACUGGGUUUCAUCUUAGCCAUCAAAAAAACACUAGAAUAUGUAAAAAAACAUUGACAUAAAACAAUAUUCCGAGUGGAUGGAAUAUGUGAUGACAGAAAAUCAUAGUUGAAUGUUGCAUAAAAUACUUACCGGAGCUGUAGUCUUCCGACAUCCUGCAAACAUCGAUCUGUUCUUCGACCUCUACUGCAAUGGACAAGAAUUUGGAAGUUCUUUUCCAAACUGGGAAGAAUUGAAGGAGAAGUUUGUUCAAGUAUCGAACUCUUAAUUCCUAGGAUUUGAGAUAACAAAAAUAAAAACUGGAUUAUACAUUUGGCAAAAGAAAUAUGACAUGCACCAGAGCACGUAUCGGACAAUAGAAGAUCGCCGACGACAAGAAUGAGAAGAAAACUAAAUUGCAAGAAAGGAAUUUAAACUGGAAUUUUGUAUCCCUUCAUUUCAUAGUUACUGGGUUUGAGUUGGAAUUCACAUUGGUAUAUGUAAUUAAUUAGCUGGAGAUUGAGAUGUAAAAACACCUUAUACUAUCUCUCAUUCUCAUACGACAAUUAGAUAUAGAAUGGACACCCAAGAUUGACGGAUUCUACUACCCAAAAAUUGUAAAUCAUCCUAAAUGUUUUUAAUUAUAAAGUUUACCUAGAUUUAGAAAAAAAACGCGGUUGUAUGUUUAAUUUCCGUUGACAAAUAAUGAUUUACCAAAAACACUUCAUAUGUUCGUUCACAUUUUCUGUGGUCUGUGGGUUGUCCGUUGCUUGUUGGUUUGAAUUUCUUUUAUUUAUCUUAAUUUUCCAUGAUUAAGAUGGGAAAAUGUGCAAUUUGUCAAUAUAUUUUAUCCUUCCCUUUCAUUUUCUAUUCAAAAUAAUAAUAGAAAAUAAAAAAACUGUCUUAAAUUCAACUUUAUCAAAUCAAUAUUUAUCUA